Molecule: ribosomal RNA, 433 nt
Filed under: uncultured bacterium
Lineage: Bacteria
Description: partial 16S ribosomal RNA
Rfam family: Bacterial small subunit ribosomal RNA
Source: RNAcentral
AACGAACGCUGGCGGCAUGCCUAACACAUGCAAGUCGAACGAGACCUGCGGGUCUAGUGGCGCACGGGGGCGUAACGCGGGGGAACCUGCCCUUAGGUUCGGAAUAACUCCCCGAAAGGGGUGCUAAUACCGGAUAAUGUCUUCGGACCAAAGAUUUAUCGCCUUUGGAUGGGCCCGCGUUGGAUUAGCUAGUUGGUAGGGUAAAAGCCUAUAAAGGCGACGAUACAUAGCUGGUCUGAGAGGAUGAUCAGCCACACUGGGACUGAGACACGGCCCAGACUCCUACGGGAGGCAGCAGUGGGGAAUAUUGGACAAUGGGCUGAAGCCUGAUCCAGCACUGCUGGGUGAGUAAUGAAGGCCUUAGGGUUGUAAAGCUCUUUUACCCGGGAUGAUAAUGACAGUACCGGGAGAAUAAGCUCCGGCUAACUCCGUG